UGGGGAAUAUUGCGCAAUGGGCGAAAGCCUGACGCAGCAACGCCGCGUGAGGGAUGAAGGCCUUCGGGUUGUAAACCUCUUUUAUCAGGGAAGAAGCGAAAGUGACGGUACCUGAAGAAAAAGCACCGGCUAACUACGUGCCAGCAGCCGCGGUAAUACGUAGGGUGCAAGCGUUAUCCGGAAUUAUUGGGCGUAAAGAGCUCGUAGGCGGUUUGUCGCGUCUGCUGUGAAAAUCUGAGGCUCAACCUC
This 249-nucleotide ribosomal RNA is filed under the name uncultured bacterium. Its description in RNAcentral is "partial 16S ribosomal RNA". It matches the Rfam family "Bacterial small subunit ribosomal RNA", at positions 355 to 616 of the family's 1533-position model. RNAcentral also lists the same sequence under 1 other name. The record is from RNAcentral.